This 530-nucleotide long non-coding RNA is filed under the name Cicer arietinum (chickpea). Its description in RNAcentral is "long non-coding RNA (CARI_LNC002723)". Lineage: Eukaryota; Viridiplantae; Streptophyta; Magnoliopsida; Fabales; Fabaceae. The record is from RNAcentral.
UCGAUUACUCAAUCGAUUUGGAUAAAAUCAUAGUUCCAGUUCUGAUUAAUGUAUUAAAAGAAUCGAUUGGCAAAUCGAUUCAUGCUUAUAUGAUUCAAGAUUCAAGAAAAACAAGACCUGCGAAAAUCGAUUAGGCAAUCGAUUGCAGAUUAAUCAUUCAUCAGAACAACUUUGAUCAAAUCGAUUGGCAAAUAGAUUUUGUCAAAAUAGCUGAGGUUCUGUAACAAGCACAAUCGAUUGGCAAAUCGAUUCAUGCUUAUAUGAUUCAAGAUUCAAGAAAAACAAGACCUGCGAAAAUCGAUUAGGCAAUCGAUUAAUGGAUCAUGAAAUCGAUUAGGAAAUCGAUUGUCCUGGUGUUUUCUUUGAAUAUAUAUAAGCUGAUUCAAACGUUUUUGAAAAUAACUUUGCACAAAACUUUUGCAUACUUUUCAUAAUCUUUGACAAUCACUUGAUAAACACUUUUGACAGAAAAGUUUUUCACACACACACAAACAUUCAUAGCCCAAAAUACUUUUGUGUGAGAACCAAAA